CGCCCCUCGCCACCUCGAAGCUCCGCCCCUGGGGGAGACGCCCACCCUCUGGUGCGAGCUCACUGGCUAUCUCGCCUGACUGUCCCGUGGAGGGGCGGAGCCUCGCCUCCAGUCCUCUUCCACGGCCGCCUCUGUUUAUCCGCUUGCCAUUGGCCCCGGGGACUGCCAGUCGGCUCUAGGGAUGGACUCUAACUUGAGGUCUCAUCCUAACAUUGCAUCUAUUGGCAGAUAGAAAGUUACUUCCUCCUGAUUGGACAAGGCUCUGUCAGUAAGACUAAGGAAAAAACCAAUGGAAGGGAUGGGGUGUGUCUUGCCCCACCCUUGCUCUGAGCAGCUCUGAAAAAUAGUUAGGAUGAGAAAACGACCCUCAUUGUAAAGAUGAAGAAACCGAAGUUCAGAGAAGUCACAAAACUACAAAGUGGCACACCCCAAGCUAGAACCUCCUUCCUCUCAUUUGAAGGACCAUCAAACCAGCUGUUCCCCUCAUGGAAGAGGAGCAUAGACAUAAAAUGUCAAGGCAAUGGGGAAGGGGCAGAGAAAAGGCACAAACACUUGGAGGAGAGACAGAACAAUUAAUUGGCACAAAAAUACAGUAUUGGUGUCAGGAGGCUUUGGUGGGCUUGGAAACAUCAAGCAGCAGAUCUGAAGGAAAUCCAGCCCUGGCAUGAAAGAAACGGGGCAGGCCAGGCGCAGUGGCUCACUCCUGUAAUCUCAGCAUUUUGGGAGGCAAAGGCGGGUGGAUCACCUGAGGUCGGGAGUUCAACACCAGCCUGGCCAAUAUGGUGAAGCCCCAUCUCUACAAAAAAUACAAAAAGUUAGCCGAGCGUGGUGGCGGGCAACUAUAAUCCCAGCUGCCUGGGAGACUGAGGCAGGAGAAUUGCUUGAACCUGGGAGGCGGAGGUUGCAGUGAGCCGAGACCAUGUCACUGCACUCCAGCCUGGGCAUGACAGAGCGAGACUCCAUCUCAAACAAAAAAAAAAAAAAGAAAAGAAAAAAAUAAACCGGGCAGCACACCCCUCUGCGAUAGGAGAGCCUGGGGUAGAGAUCAGAGAGAACUUCUCGGCCAGGCGUGGUGGCUCAUGCCUGUAAUCCCAGCAAUUUGGGAGGCCAAGGUGGGCAGAUCACUUGAGGUCAGGAGUUCGAGACCAGCCUGGCCGACAUGGUGAAACCCCAUCUCUACUGAAAAUACAGAAAUUAGCCAGGCAUGGCAGCGGGCACCUGUAAUGCCAGCUACUCGGGAGGCUGAGGCAGGAGAAUGGCGUGAACCCGGGAGGCAGAGGUUGCAGUGAGCUGAGAUCAUGCCAUUGCACUCCAGCCUGGGUGACAGAGUGAGACUCUGUCUCAAAAAAAUAAAAAGGACUUCUCACAGGCAGCUUAAGAAGACAAGGGCACUUCCUUUCUGUGGUUGAUGACAUGAAUGCUGCUCGUGGCUGUAUGGUGUGCCAAGGGCCCUACAAACAUUCCUUCAUUCAACACUUGAGUAUUCAUUGUCAACUGUAUGUUAGGCACUGGUGAACACAGAAAAUAAAACCUGGUGACACAGGAAAUAAAAAUGAUCCCAACCUUCAAAGAGCUCAUAGAAGGAUAAGCAGAAGCAGCGUGUGUGGGUGGGUUUUGGAGGAGUGGUGGUUUAGAA
Molecule: long non-coding RNA, 1636 nt
Filed under: Homo sapiens (human)
Lineage: Eukaryota; Metazoa; Chordata; Mammalia; Primates; Hominidae
Description: HSALNT0240690
Source: RNAcentral